This 492-nucleotide ribosomal RNA is filed under the name uncultured bacterium. Its description in RNAcentral is "partial 16S ribosomal RNA". It matches the Rfam family "Bacterial small subunit ribosomal RNA", at positions 29 to 507 of the family's 1533-position model. The record is from RNAcentral.
AGUGAACGCUGGCGGUAGGCCUAACACAUGCAAGUCGAACGGCAGCACAGUAAGAGCUUGCUCUUACGGGUGGCGAGUGGCGGACGGGUGAGGAAUACAUCGGAAUCUACUUUUUCGUGGGGGAUCACGUAGGGAAACUUACGCUAAUACCGCAUACGACCUACGGGUGAAAGCAGGGGAUCUUCGGACCUUGCGCGAUUGAAUGAGCCGAUGUCGGUUUAGCUAGUUGGCGGGGUAAAGGCCCACCAAGGCGACGAUCCGUAGCUGGUCUGAGAGGAGGAUCAGCCACACUGGAACUGAGACACGGUCCAGACUCCUACGGGAGGCAGCAGUGGGGAAUAUUGGACAAUGGGCGCAAGCCUGAUCCAGCCAUACCGCGUGGGUGAAGAAGGCCUUCGGGUUGUAAAGCCCUUUUGUUGGGAAAGAAAAGCAGCAGGUUAAUACCCCGCUGUUCUGACGGUACCCAAAGAAUAAGCACCGGCUAACUUCGUG